Leucoraja erinaceus (little skate) is the source of this 2935-nucleotide long non-coding RNA. RefSeq lists it as uncharacterized. Lineage: Eukaryota; Metazoa; Chordata; Chondrichthyes; Rajiformes; Rajidae. The transcript is spliced from 2 exons. The record is from RefSeq and is a predicted model, not a curated record.
ACUAUAAUGUUCACAUAGUGGCCUGCACAACACUGGUAGAGGGAAAAGAAAGGAUGGUGUCACACAGUGGGAUGUUUGAGCAGCAAAAAUGAUAGACAUGCUGAUAAUUUUGCAGAGGAACAUGUUCUGCAACUGUUAAAUACAGUUACAUUUUGUUUGAAUUGAAGAUAUAUCAUUCUUAUGUGUUUCUGAUGUGGAGGGUAGUGGUUGCUAUAAGUUGAGCAGCCAGUUUGUCUUCAGCAAAUUCUAAACCUUUGCUUUAAGUCCACUGUACCAUGACCUUGCAUGUAAAUGGUUGCAGUGGUUUAAAUUAGUUUAAAACAAAACCCAUUCAGGUUAGCACCAAAACAGUGGCAGUCCAGUUUCAAGUUCCAUUUUCUCACGUGCUGCUGAGUUUCUCCAGCUUUUUUGUGUACCUUCGAUUUUCCAGCAUCUGCAGUUCCUUCUUAAACACAUUUUACGAACUUGAUUUGUAAACAAUUUCCUGAAUACUUCCUUUAAAGACUAAAAUCUAAAUUACAAUCAAAGAUAAUUGAACUUUGCAUUUUUUGGUAUACCUGCUGGGGCUGUGUCUUUAAAGAAAAUUGCAAGCUUGUGAGAAAUGUUCUGAAAAUAGGAGCAUUGUUUUGGUUUUUAAUAUUAGAAUCUUUACAGAAUCACUAGUUUGUUUCCAAUAAAACUUAAUAUCAAGUUUUGAACUUGUGUAGAAUGUAGUUUGAAUACUUUACACAUACCAGUAUAGGAAUACGAUAGCAGAACAAGAAUCGUGCAUUGAAAUAGUCUGCUUGUCCUGAGUAACCUGAAGCUAACUUGUACAAUACUCAUAUGCGAGUUAUGAAAGCAGCUUGUAGUGUUUACCAACCAGGCACACAUCCUCAAAAAUCGUUAAUACAUGCAUAUUUACUUUUGUUAGUUGACCAUGGGUACUAACAAAUGUCUUUGUAUUAUAAAUAAUCUACAAGUACACCAAAUUGAAAAUGUUUCCUCAAAGGCUGUAUCUUGCCCCUGCUGAUUUACUCUGCUGUACGCUUGUUGCAAACAAGUCACCAUGAGCACCUCUUUGUCCAAACUUUGUGCAGUUAAACAAAUGUAAAUAGUUUUUAAUAGUUUAUUCCAGUGACUGGUUUAAAUUUACUGUCUGACUGGGAUAUCAUUGGCCUAGUGUGCUAAUGAUCCUGUCAUUAAAGUUUGUCCCUUUGGUUUUAGUCUAUCACCAAUUUUGUCACUUAUGGAUGGCAAUUCAUUAAAAUAUUCCUGUCUAUCUCAGACACGUAGGACUUCCCAAUGUGGACAAAUGUUUUGGUCUGUUUUCCAAAAAAUAUGUGACAUAUUGGGCAUUGUGCUUUUUUGGUAAGUAUAUCAUACGGGCAUAAAUGAUAGGAUUAGAAUUAGGCCCCUUCGGCCCAUCAAGUCUACUCUGCCAUUCAAUCAUGGCUGAUCUAUCUCUCCCUCCUAACUCCAUUCUCCUGCUUCUGACUCGUGUACUAAUCAAAAAUCUAUGUCUCUGCCAUAAAAAAAAUCAACUGACUUGGCCUCUACAGCCUUCUUUGGCAAAGAAUUCCACAGAUUCACCACCCUCUGACAAUAGCGAUUUCUCCUCAACUUCCUAAAAGCAUGUCCUUUAAUUUUAAGUCUAUGACCUCUAGUCCUAGACUCUCCCACUAGUGGAAAUAUCCAUUCCACGUCCACUUUAUCCAGGUCGUUCACUAUUCUGUAUGUUUCAAUGGGGUCCCCGCUCAUUCUUCUAAACUCCAGGGAGUACAGGUACAGUGCUGACAAAUGCUCAUCAUUGGUUAACCUACUAAUUCCUAGGAUCAUUCUUGUAAACCUCAUCUGGACCCUCUCCAGAGGCAACACGUCCUUCCUCGGAUAUGGUGCCCACAAUUACUCUCAAUAUUCCAAAUGCGACCUUAUAGAGCCUCAGCAUUCCAUUUCUCCAGCAAUUUUGUGUACCUCAGCAUUACAUCCCUGUUUUUGUAUACAAGCUCUCUUGAAAUAAAUGCAUUGAGUUUGCUUUCUUUACUACCGAUUCGACUUGCUGAUUAACGUUUUGGGAAUCUUGCACCAUCACUCCCAAGUCCCUUUGCACCUCCGAAUUCUGGAUUCUCUCUCCAUUUAGAAAAUAGUCUAUGCCUUCAUUCCAAUUACCCAAAUGCAUGACUCCACAUUUUGUUAUUCCAUCUGCCACUUCUCUGCCCACUCUCUCAACCUGUCCAAGUCCCUGUUUUCUCUACACUACCUGCCAACCUAUUUGCGUGUCAUCCACAAACUUGACCACAAAGCCUUCAAUCCCCUUGUCCAAAUCGUCAAUAUGCAACGUGAAGAGCAGCGGCCCAAGCACUGACCCCUGCGGUGCUCUGUCAGUCACUGGCAGCCAACCAGAAAAAAGCCCCCUUUAUUGCCACUCUUUGUCUUCUGCUAUCCAUGCUAGUAUCUGCCCUUUGAUACCAUGGGCUCUCAUCUUCCUUACCUCACGUGUGGCACCUAAUCAAAGGCUUUCUGAAAAUCUAAGUAAACAACAUCUACUGACUCCUUUAUCCUGCUUUUUACUUCUUCAAAGAAUUCCAGCAAAUUUGUCAAGCAAGACUUCCUGUUCACAAGUCAUGCUGACUGGUCUAUUUUACAGUGAACUAAGUAUUCUGUAACCGCAUUCAUUAAUGGACUCUUAAAAUCUUACCAACCACCAAAGUAAUAUUCUGCAUGGGAGUGGAAUAACAAAUGCUUCCAGGGAUUAAACUUGCAAAUGAAGGUGUGUUGUCUGAACAGAAUAUACCAUACAUGCAGCCACAUAUGUUUAAUGAAAAUUGUGUGAAGCACUGCAGCUUUAAUCAAGAGCAGAGAACUAUGAAGGCUGCUGUUAUGUCAUGUUUUGGUUUGGCUAGAAACAAGUAGUUUUGUAACUCUUAAGUUCAAAUAAAGGUCCAGGUUUCUAUGA